This 301-nucleotide ribosomal RNA is filed under the name uncultured bacterium. Its description in RNAcentral is "partial 16S ribosomal RNA". It matches the Rfam family "Bacterial small subunit ribosomal RNA", at positions 509 to 808 of the family's 1533-position model. The record is from RNAcentral.
CAGUACCGCGGGAAAACGAAGGGGGCUAGCGUUGUUCGGAAUUACUGGGCGUAAAGCGCACGUAGGCGGAUCGAUCAGUCAGGGGUGAAAUCCCAGAGCUCAACUCUGGAACUGCCUUUGAUACUGUCGAUCUGGAGUAUGGAAGAGGUGAGUGGAAUUCCGAGUGUAGAGGUGAAAUUCGUAGAUAUUCGGAGGAACACCAGUGGCGAAGGCGGCUCACUGGUCCAUUACUGACGCUGAGGUGCGAAAGCGUGGGGAGCAAACAGGAUUAGAUACCCGGGUAGUCCCUGUCUCUUAUACA